Molecule: ribosomal RNA, 479 nt
Filed under: uncultured organism
Description: partial 16S ribosomal RNA
Rfam family: Bacterial small subunit ribosomal RNA
Source: RNAcentral
ACGUACACUCCUACGGGAGGCAGCAGUGGGGAAUAUUGCACAAUGGGCGCAAGCCUGAUGCAGCCAUGCCGCGUGUAUGAAGAAGGCCUUCGGGUUGUAAAGUACUUUCAGCGGGGAGGAAGGCGAUAAGGUUAAUAACCUUGUCGAUUGACGUUACCCGCAGAAGAAGCACCGGCUAACUCCGUGCCAGCAGCCGCGGUAAUACGGAGGGUGCAAGCGUUAAUCGGAAUUACUGGGCGUAAAGCGCACGCAGGCGGUCUGUCAAGUCGGAUGUGAAAUCCCCAGGCUCAACCUGGGAACUGCAUUCGAAACUGGCAGGCUAGAGUCUUGUAGAGGGGGGUAGAAUUCCAGGUGUAGCGGUGAAAUGCGUAGAGAUCUGGAGGAAUACCGGUGGCGAAGGCGGCCCCCUGGACAAAGACUGACGCUCAGGUGCGAAAGCGUGGGGAGCAAACAGGAUUAGAAACCCCAGUAGUCCCAUG